RNAcentral lists this ribosomal RNA (253 nucleotides) under uncultured bacterium. RNAcentral describes it as "partial 16S ribosomal RNA". It matches the Rfam family "Bacterial small subunit ribosomal RNA", at positions 524 to 776 of the family's 1533-position model. The record is from RNAcentral. RNAcentral also lists the same sequence under 1 other name.
UACGGAGGGUGCAAGCGUUAUCCGGAUUUAUUGGGUUUAAAGGGUCCGUAGGCGGAUCUGUAAGUCAGUGGUGAAAUCUCACAGCUUAACUGUGAAACUGCCAUUGAUACUGCAGGUCUUGAGUAAAUUUGAAGUGGCUGGAAUAAGUAGUGUAGCGGUGAAAUGCAUAGAUAUUACUUAGAACACCAAUUGCGAAGGCAGGUCACUAAGAUUUAACUGACGCUGAUGGACGAAAGCGUGGGGAGCGAACAGG